CCAAGCAUCAGUACUUUUGAAAGAUCCCCCGGGGAAGUCCAAUCUUCAGUAAAGUCUGGGAACCACUCAAUGCCCUGCAAGGAGAUGGAUUCACGACCCUGGCACAGGACGCCGUUGCAAUAGUUAAAACUCCCCUCCAGUGAAGCUGUGCCCUUUGCAGCGGAAGCACACAAGCCCACCGAAGCUGCUGUUUAACUCGGCCGAUGACCUCGUCUACCUUCAAGGGCUCCACCUGUGUUCCAGCUCUUGCUGUGGAUUAUCGUCACGAGACCUCUGGCUGGUGGUCUGCCACCACCUCCUGACUCGACACACUGUCCCUUCUUCUCUGAGGCUCUUCCUCCUCUCUACAACAACCUCCAUUGUCCAAAUUCACUUAUUUUCUG
This 383-nucleotide long non-coding RNA is filed under the name Equus asinus (donkey). RNAcentral describes it as "lncRNA (ENSEASG00005033221.1)". The record is from RNAcentral. Lineage: Eukaryota; Metazoa; Chordata; Mammalia; Perissodactyla; Equidae.